GUGAAUCAUCGAAUUUUUGAACGCAAAUUGCACUCUCUUCGGAGAGUAUGCCUGUUUGAGGGUCAGCCUAAAAAAAAAUCGACAUAGUUGCUGUUUCGCGGUGAAAUUCGUCGGAAAUUGGGUCAUCUUAAACAUUUGGGUUUUAAGCGGCUUAAAAUUUUCUUUACGAUUCCACGAACGUUUCUAAGAUUUACUUCUUACGUUUAUGGUAUCGAUUUUUAUUUGACGUGUCCGUGGCAUAGGGUUACGUUAAUAAUUAUU
Molecule: unclassified non-coding RNA, 261 nt
Filed under: Glomus sp.
Lineage: Eukaryota; Fungi; Glomeromycota; Glomeromycetes; Glomerales; Glomeraceae
Description: partial contains 5.8S ribosomal RNA and internal transcribed spacer 2
Rfam family: 5.8S ribosomal RNA (bases 1-65)
Source: RNAcentral